CAGGGUGACAGGUGGUGCAUGGUUGUCGUCAGCUCGUGUCGUGAGAUGUUGGGUUAAGUCCCGCAACGAGCGCAACCCUCGACCUUAGUUGCCAGCAUUCAGUUGGGCACUCUAAGGUGACUGCCGGCUAAAAGUCGGAGGAAGGUGGGGAUGACGUCAAAUCAUCAUGCCCCUUAUGACCUGGGCUACACACGUGCUACAAUGGACGGUACAAAGGGUCGCGAACCCGCGAGGGGGAGCCAAUCCCAAAAAGCCGCUCUCAGUUCGGAUUGCAGGCUGCAACUCGCCUGCAUGAAGCCGGAAUCGCUAGUAAUCGCGGAUCAGCAUGUCGCGGUGAAUACGUUCCCGGGCCUU
Molecule: ribosomal RNA, 354 nt
Filed under: uncultured Anoxybacillus sp.
Lineage: Bacteria; Bacillati; Bacillota; Bacilli; Caryophanales; Anoxybacillaceae
Description: bacterial SSU rRNA
Rfam family: Bacterial small subunit ribosomal RNA
Source: RNAcentral